RNAcentral lists this ribosomal RNA (1513 nucleotides) under Mycobacterium tuberculosis. Its description in RNAcentral is "bacterial SSU rRNA". It matches the Rfam family "Bacterial small subunit ribosomal RNA". Lineage: Bacteria; Bacillati; Actinomycetota; Actinomycetes; Mycobacteriales; Mycobacteriaceae. The record is from RNAcentral.
AGAGUUUGAUCCUGGCUCAGGACGAACGCUGGCGGCGUGCUUAACACAUGCAAGUCGAACGGAAAGGUCUCUUCGGAGAUACUCGAGUGGCGAACGGGUGAGUAACACGUGGGUGAUCUGCCCUGCACUUCGGGAUAAGCCUGGGAAACUGGGUCUAAUACCGGAUAGGACCACGGGAUGCAUGUCUUGUGGUGGAAAGCGCUUUAGCGGUGUGGGAUGAGCCCGCGGCCUAUCAGCUUGUUGGUGGGGUGACGGCCUACCAAGGCGACGACGGGUAGCCGGCCUGAGAGGGUGUCCGGCCACACUGGGACUGAGAUACGGCCCAGACUCCUACGGGAGGCAGCAGUGGGGAAUAUUGCACAAUGGGCGCAAGCCUGAUGCAGCGACGCCGCGUGGGGGAUGACGGCCUUCGGGUUGUAAACCUCUUUCACCAUCGACGAAGGUCCGGGUUCUCUCGGAUUGACGGUAGGUGGAGAAGAAGCACCGGCCAACUACGUGCCAGCAGCCGCGGUAAUACGUAGGGUGCGAGCGUUGUCCGGAAUUACUGGGCGUAAAGAGCUCGUAGGUGGUUUGUCGCGUUGUUCGUGAAAUCUCACGGCUUAACUGUGAGCGUGCGGGCGAUACGGGCAGACUAGAGUACUGCAGGGGAGACUGGAAUUCCUGGUGUAGCGGUGGAAUGCGCAGAUAUCAGGAGGAACACCGGUGGCGAAGGCGGGUCUCUGGGCAGUAACUGACGCUGAGGAGCGAAAGCGUGGGGAGCGAACAGGAUUAGAUACCCUGGUAGUCCACGCCGUAAACGGUGGGUACUAGGUGUGGGUUUCCUUCCUUGGGAUCCGUGCCGUAGCUAACGCAUUAAGUACCCCGCCUGGGGAGUACGGCCGCAAGGCUAAAACUCAAAGGAAUUGACGGGGGCCCGCACAAGCGGCGGAGCCAUGUGGAUUAAUUCGAUGCAACGCGAAGAACCUUACCUGGGUUUGACAUGCACAGGACGCGUCUAGAGAUAGGCGUUCCCUUGUGGCCUGUGUGCAGGUGGUGCAUGGCUGUCGUCAGCUCGUGUCGUGAGAUGUUGGGUUAAGUCCCGCAACGAGCGCAACCCUUGUCUCAUGUUGCCAGCACGUAAUGGUGGGGACUCGUGAGAGACUGCCGGGGUCAACUCGGAGGAAGGUGGGGAUGACGUCAAGUCAUCAUGCCCCUUAUGUCCAGGGCUUCACACAUGCUACAAUGGCCGGUACAAAGGGCUGCGAUGCCGCGAGGUUAAGCGAAUCCUUAAAAGCCGGUCUCAGUUCGGAUCGGGGUCUGCAACUCGACCCCGUGAAGUCGGAGUCGCUAGUAAUCGCAGAUCAGCAACGCUGCGGUGAAUACGUUCCCGGGCCUUGUACACACCGCCCGUCACGUCAUGAAAGUCGGUAACACCCGAAGCCAGUGGCCUAACCCUCGGGAGGGAGCUGUCGAAGGUGGGAUCGGCGAUUGGGACGAAGUCGUAACAAGGUAGCCGUACCGGAAGGUGCGGCUG